CCUACGGGGGGCAGCAGUAGGGAAUCUUCCACAAUGGGCGCAAGCCUGAUGGAGCAACACCGCGUGAGUGAAGAAGGGUUUCGGCUCGUAAAGCUCUGUUGUUGGAGAAGAACGUGCGUGAGAGUAACUGUUCACGCAGUGACGGUAUCCAACCAGAAAGUCACGGCUAACUACGUGCCAGCAGCCGCGGUAAUACGUAGGUGGCAAGCGUUAUCCGGAUUUAUUGGGCGUAAAGGGAGCGCAGGCGGUCGCUUAGGUCUGAUGUGAAAGCCUUCGGCUUAACCGAAGAAGUGCAUCGGAAACCGGGCAACUUGAGUGCAGAAGAGGACAGUGGAACUCCAUGGGUAGCGGUGGAAUGCGUAGAUAUAUGGAAGAACACCAGUGGCGAAGGCGGCUGUCUGGUCUGCAACUGACGCUGAGGCUCGAAAGCAUGGGUAGCGAACAGGAUUAGAUACCCGAGUAGUC
Molecule: ribosomal RNA, 465 nt
Filed under: uncultured bacterium
Lineage: Bacteria
Description: partial 16S ribosomal RNA
Rfam family: Bacterial small subunit ribosomal RNA
Source: RNAcentral